RNAcentral lists this unclassified non-coding RNA (207 nucleotides) under Hevea brasiliensis (rubber tree). The record is from RNAcentral. Lineage: Eukaryota; Viridiplantae; Streptophyta; Magnoliopsida; Malpighiales; Euphorbiaceae.
GGCUAUGGUUUGUCUUGGAGUCAAUUUAAGCAGGGUCAUCUAUUGAGUGGUUCAGAUGACUCAGAUAUAUGUUUAUGGGACAUUAAUGCCACUCCCAAAAAUAAGGCUAUAGAGGCUAUGCAGAUAUUUAAGGUUCAUGAAGGUGUUGUUGAGGAUGUAGCUUGGCAUCUGAGGCAUGAGUAUUUAUUUGGCUCUGUUGGGGAUGAU